GACGAACGCUGGCGGCGUGCUUAACACAUGCAAGUCGAGCGGUAAGGCCCUUUCGGGGGUACACGAGCGGCGAACGGGUGAGUAACACGUGGGUGACCUGCCCUUAGCUCUGGGAUAAGCCUGGGAAACUGGGUCUAAUACCGGAUAUGACUCCAUGACGCAUGUUGUGGGGUGGAAAGCCUUGUGCGGCUAGGGAUGGGCCCGCGGCCUAUCAGCUUGUUGGUGGGGUGAUGGCCUACCAAGGCGACGACGGGUAGCCGGCCUGAGAGGGCGACCGGCCACACUGGGACUGAGACACGGCCCAGACUCCUACGGGAGGCAGCAGUGGGGAAUCUGCGCAAUGGGCGAAAGCCUGACGCAGCGACGCCGCGUGAGGGAUGACGGCCU
Molecule: ribosomal RNA, 387 nt
Filed under: uncultured bacterium
Lineage: Bacteria
Description: bacterial SSU rRNA
Rfam family: Bacterial small subunit ribosomal RNA
Source: RNAcentral